Desmophyllum pertusum is the source of this 77-nucleotide non-coding RNA. NCBI's taxonomy places the organism in Eukaryota, Metazoa, Cnidaria, Anthozoa, Scleractinia, Caryophylliidae. The record is from the annotation of a GenBank genome assembly.
UCGUUAGAGCUGCAGCUCAGUGGUAGAGCGUCCGACCGGUGUGCUGAAGGUCAUAGGUUCGACCCCUGUUGGAAGAA